RNAcentral lists this long non-coding RNA (1515 nucleotides) under Nicotiana benthamiana. Its description in RNAcentral is "long non-coding RNA (NBEN_LNC040092)". Lineage: Eukaryota; Viridiplantae; Streptophyta; Magnoliopsida; Solanales; Solanaceae. The record is from RNAcentral.
AACUUCAGUAGGACUUUAUUUUCAGUGUGCUUACUGUUUGUACAAAAUACAUGUCACCAGAUCAAGAUAUUACAAACAUAUAAACUGCAGCAUAAUUUCUGCAAAUUUAGUAGGAAUACAUUAUUUGACAUAGGUUUAAAGAUCGAAUGGCUAAACUCCAGAUGGGCUUCUAAAUUAAAGGAAUAAUGGUGGAAGCUUCAAAGCAGAAUAGUCUGCAUGCUUUGUCAAUAUAAUUUAUUGCAAGUGGUGUAUCUGACAUUUAUACGAGUCCAAGUGUAUAACAGCUCGUCUUUUCUCUAGACGAUAUUAUUAUUUUUUCAAGUGAUAUUAUACAACCAUAACGUAUGUACAAAUCAUCUUUUUCCACAAGAGUGACUGCCCUGCAAAACUAACAAACAUGAUCUCAGAGCUAGCAUAAAUCCUAUGUCAACACCUAGAGUUAUUGGGAACCGGUAACAUAAACCAAUUCUCACAUUAGCAGUUAUGAGAUGGUAAUGCAUUAGAUAAAUAAAAAUACACGUUCAUUCAAAUCCACAGUUUGAAUAAGCAUAAACUCCAGAUACCAUAAGGAUUCUCCUUUGGCCUUUCUAAGUUGAAAAGCUAACUUUCCAGUAAAAUAGCCACUUGUGUGGUCUUUGCUUCAUCAAAAGCUUAAGACCAAUGACCUGUUACGAUUGAAAGGCUGUUAAAACUUAUAAGUAAAAUUUGGUGCAUAAUUUGCAAAAAGAACAAGGACACCCCUUCCCAUUUGUUUCACAAUAUUCUUUUGCAAGAAGAUAGUCACAAAGAAGGAUUAACGCAAAGAUAUUGUGGCUAUUUGAUGAAUAUUAUCUGCUUCCACAUCCAGAAAGAACCCAUGUCAAAAGAGGAAUUGAUUGCCUCCAUCAGGGUAUUAUUGAUUCACAACAAUUUUUGCAUUCAAAGAAACGUAGAACCUUGGAAGUACUAUACCUAGUUUUGUGGUCACUCCAUGAGUAUCUCCUCCCUUAUCAAGAUCUGAUGUGCAUAGGAGUCUCCUGCUCCUACCCUACCAAAAGAUCAGCAGCUUGGUUGGUCGAUCUCCUCACAAAUAUCUAACAUCAAUCUGCCCAAUACAAUCUCAAGACUCUCCCUACCAUUGACUUUCUCCAUUCUUAUGAUUAUUGCUAACUCAUCUUUUAAAGCAUUAAUAUUGGGGUCUGGACUCUCUUCAAAAGCCUAAGAGAUAGUUUGGUACGAAGAAUCAGGAUAAUAAUUCUGGGAUAGAAUUUGAGAUUGUAUUUAUCUUAUGUUUAGUUAUAGGUAUUAGCUAAUCCCGAUAUAAAUUUUACUUUAAAAUGGUGAGAUUAGCUAUCUCAUAUAGAAGGUUGGAUAACCAAUCCUAUGGGAUAUCCUUGUCUAACUCACUAUUGUACCAAACGAACCCUAAAUGUCUUGAGUAUAUGCCUCCCUUUCUUUUUGUUUGUUGGAAAAAAGAAAAAGGUGCACAAUGCGUUUCUACAUUUCACAAAAAAAAAAAAUAAUAAAUACUCUAAU